RNAcentral lists this ribosomal RNA (208 nucleotides) under uncultured bacterium. Its description in RNAcentral is "partial 16S ribosomal RNA". It matches the Rfam family "Bacterial small subunit ribosomal RNA", at positions 568 to 774 of the family's 1533-position model. The record is from RNAcentral.
UGCGUAGGCGGCCGAUCAAGUCAGGUGUGAAAGACCCGUGCUUAACAUGGGGGUUGCACUUGAAACUGGUUGGCUUGAGUACGGGAGAGGCAAGCGGAAUUCCCGGUGUAGCGGUGAAAUGCGUAGAGAUCGGGAGGAACACCAGUGGCGAAGGCAGCUUGCUGGACCAAAACUGACGCUGAGGCACGAAAGCGUGGGUAAGCAAACA